This is a long non-coding RNA of Sander lucioperca (pikeperch), 141 nucleotides long. RefSeq lists it as uncharacterized. The transcript is spliced from 3 exons. NCBI's taxonomy places the organism in Eukaryota, Metazoa, Chordata, Actinopteri, Perciformes, Percidae. The record is from RefSeq and is a predicted model, not a curated record.
CUCCAAAAUGUCGCGUUCGCCGGAAAUGUUGCCGAAAAGCGCCAGCAGAGAAAAUGAGGCAGCAGAUAAUAAUGAAGAAAUAUUAUUAAAACAUUAAACAGUUAUUUGUGGACCAAUAUGACAUCUGUGUCGAUAAUGUAG